GGGUGGCGGUGGGGCGCGCGCCUCGGAUGCCGCCGGCCAGUCCUCGCCGCCGGCAGCGCCUCUUCUGCGAGGGUCUCCGCGGCCCGGCCGUCCGCGGGGACUGCGCGGCCAGGAGACUGGCGGCUGAGAAGCGCGGACGGACUGAGGGGGGCGCCCCGGGAGGAAGCUCUGGAGCGGCCGCUCCUCUCAAUUACCGAGCCAACAUUCAGCCUCUCCCUCCUC
This 222-nucleotide long non-coding RNA is filed under the name Homo sapiens (human). RNAcentral's name for it is "HSALNT0030346". The record is from RNAcentral. Lineage: Eukaryota; Metazoa; Chordata; Mammalia; Primates; Hominidae.